RNAcentral lists this small nucleolar RNA (127 nucleotides) under Paramormyrops kingsleyae. RNAcentral's name for it is "Small nucleolar RNA SNORA71 (ENSPKIG00000023209.1)". It matches the Rfam family "Small nucleolar RNA SNORA71". Rfam says of the family: The members of this family belong to the H/ACA class of snoRNAs which bind a number of proteins (including dyskerin, Gar1p and Nop10p) to form snoRNP complexes. This class of snoRNAs are thought to guide the sites of modification of uridines to pseudouridines by forming direct base pairing interactions with substrate RNAs. The record is from RNAcentral. Lineage: Eukaryota; Metazoa; Chordata; Actinopteri; Osteoglossiformes; Mormyridae.
UCCUGUAUCGAAAGUGACUGUGGUAUGAUUGUUGCCAGGUCAUUGAUAAUGCAGGAAGAGUGAAUUGAAAGUCUUUCCCGUGUUUGCUGGGAGCUACGUCCCUGUCAAACCCUGUAUCUGUCAAACA